AUUAUCUUAGGUUGGGCCAACAAUUGUGCUCUUUCUAUUUCAGAAGGAUGAGUAGAGAAAUAGUUCCAACCAAACAUUUUGUCAAGCUUCUCCCACAAUAUGUCUGAGAUUCUGUCAAGCUUUUUCUCCCACAAUAUGACUGAGAUUCUGUCUUCCUCCUCCAACAAUUUCCCAUGCUCCUCCCACAUUUCGACUGCCACCCGGGGAUCAUAGCCGGCUGAUGCCAUCAACAUCAAUCCAAUGUAAUCAGCUUCUUUUUCAACCUAAAUUUGUGAAUAAAUUGGGUUGUUACAAAAGUUGUAGCCCAAAAAAUCAUAAAUUAAAGAUACAUCACCAUUAUUAACCCCUCUCCUUUCCAUCCCAAUGUUUUCUUUCAUUUCAAACGAAGUGUUAAUGACAUGUAACAAACAUUAAUUACCUUAGAGUUUUUUUCUUCUUUAUCUCAAAGGUUCUACAAUGAUGAGUACUAAGUUAUGUGACACCUAGUGGGAUAAGGCUUUGUUGUUGUUGUUGUAAUAUUGGAAAUACCCUUUUAGAUGCAAGAUGAAACUAGUUUUUGUGUUUGUUAUCUUAUACACCUUUUGUCUUUAUGCCUAACCUGUGAUGGAGUGAUGCUACCUGCACAAAAUCACAAGUAGCUGCAUGAUUUUAAUAGGGAAAUAUCUAAGUAGUCCUGUUUGAAUUCAGAGAGAACCACUUGUGUAUUUGUAGGCUUAGUUUUGCAUAGAGCUGUAUACAUCAUUUGAUGGUAUAUGAUAUGCUUGCAAGGAGGGAGGUAUGGUUUCUUUAGUUAAUCUCUUGGAGAAAAAAUAAACUAAUAAAUAUGAGAUAAG
Molecule: long non-coding RNA, 833 nt
Filed under: Glycine max (soybean)
Lineage: Eukaryota; Viridiplantae; Streptophyta; Magnoliopsida; Fabales; Fabaceae
Description: long non-coding RNA (GMAX_LNC002034)
Source: RNAcentral